Molecule: long non-coding RNA, 5075 nt
Filed under: Lactuca sativa (garden lettuce)
Lineage: Eukaryota; Viridiplantae; Streptophyta; Magnoliopsida; Asterales; Asteraceae
Description: long non-coding RNA (LSAT_LNC004482)
Source: RNAcentral
GGGAGUCCGGGAAGGAGAUGGGGGUAAGGAUUGUUGCAGUCUCUCUCUUCCUCUUGUUGGCCGGAUUUUUGUUUUUUUUUUUCAGUCUAACCGUUAAAAAACGGUUAUAUAUAUAUAUAUNUAUAUAUAUAUAAUUUACUAAUGGCUAUCUAUAGGAAAUUGAGUUUUUAAAUUUUUUUUUUACCCUCAACAACAUCUAUAAGUAUACACACGCUUUAACCUUCAUACCCAAGCCUCCUUUUAUCAAUUUAUGUCUACUUUAUUCAAAAAAUUGAAUCCCGACAAUCAAACCCCAAACUAGGGGUGAGCGUGGUGCGGUUAUUAGCUAAAACCUCACCACUAACCGCAAAUGUGAUUAAUCCAUUUUCAAAACCGUCUGGUACGAUUAUUUUUGCGGUGCGGUUUUGUUUUUUCAGUGUUGCAGUUAUUAACCGCAUGGAUUUGGUGCGGUUAUUUUGUGUAGUUUUUAACUACAGUUUAGAGCUCAAACGGUUUUAAAAGUUCAAACAUAUUACUUGUAAUAAUUAAAAAACCAUAAUAUAUAAGACAAUUAACUUAAAUCUCAAACAAUUAAUAUCUUAAAAACGUCAAAUCAAUAGUAAUUAACAAUAAAUUUCUUAAAAUUGUCUAAUUUCACUAUUUUUCAAAGUUAAACAUAACAAAAAACCAUACUUUUGUUUUCUAGUAUUUUAUUCACCUUUCAUUCAUUAAACUUAUUUUAUUUUUUAAAUUUAAUAUAUUAAUAAUUAAUAAAAAAAAGUUGUAUAUAAUAUAUGCGGUGUGGUGCAAUUUUUUAUGCAGUUUUUGAAAACUAAUAACCGCAUCGCACCAUAAAUUGCGGUUUUUGAAAAACAGAAAACCUCACCAUCGGUUUUUAUUGCGGUUAGGGUUUAUCGGUUGCGGUUUAUGCAGUUUUGCAGUUAAUUUUAGUUGUGGUGCGGUUUUUGCUCACCCCUACCCAAACUUCGAAAAGAAAGGAAAAAAAACAAUGUUUCGAGUUCAAGCACCGCAACUCAAAACAUUUUCGCUAUCGAUUCAUCUCAAGGGGUUUAUCGUCUACAACUUGAUGCUCUCAUUCAAUCUCCAUUACAAUUUCAAUACCAAAAUAUUAGGCAAUUACCUGAUGCAAGUUCCAAAUGUUACCCCAAAUAUGUUAUCAAACUUUGUUGUUUUUCCCGAUCAACUUUCGCCUAAUCAACCCCAAACUCAAAUCUCACUCUUUCAAUCUCAAACCAAAACCCAAACCCAACCCUCUCAAUCUCAACCACAAUACCAAAUCUUCGAUGAGUCGGAUGAAGAGAUUGUACAGGAAACUCAACCCCCCCCCCACACACACACACACACGCCGCAAAGGAAAACAACAAGUAAAUGAGGGUGUCGCACAACCAGGAAGACAGAAGCCGCAAGCAUGGACUCCACAAGAAGAGAUAUGUAACAUCCGGAUUUUCAGAGGUAUUAUGGUGUAAGUUAAUCUUCUGAUUAAAGGAGAGACUCAACGAGUUGAGGGUCCAACUCGCCGAGUCGGGUUGGGUUUCUCCCGUGGAUUUAAUGAGUGGACUCGACGAGUCCGAGAAGGGACUCGCCGAGUAAGUGUUGGGUAGAGAAACCCUAAUCUCCAGGGUUUGGGACCUAUUUAAAGGCACUUAUAGCCUCCUUGGCCCCUUCCCAACAGUGUCUCCGUCCCUUGAAAGAAACCCUAGAGUUAUUUAUGAGCUAGAGAGGAAAGAGGCUUCUUGGAGGUCAUUUCUUUGAGAAGAUGAUCAAGGGAGUUGCAAGGAUCUCAGAGGAGAGUUGGUGGAUCAGUCUCAUCUUCAUUUCAAGCUUCAAAUCUGGUACAACUCUUGCCUCCCUUGUGUUUGAAUAGAUUUCCUUGGUUGCAAAGUUGGACUUGUAUCCAUAUUGAUGGGGUUUUGGGUGCAUCCAAACCCUUUUUCGAAUCAAUUGCAGAUUUGGACCUUGUGAGGUCCAGAGAUCCAGAAAGUAGGCAGCCAUGAGUGAGUAACCUUGGAGCUUUAAAGCUAUGGAGCUUUAAUGGAGUCAAAAUGGUGUAUAGAGCAAAAUACACCAUGCAUGAGCCUCAAGUUCAAACCUUUGCGUGACUUUUGGGUAGUAGGAGGUUAGAUCUAUGAGUUUGGGUUGCAGAUCUGACCUCAAAUAGCUGAAUGAGAAAUCUGUGGGAGCCAACUCGCCGAGUCCAUGGGUGACUCGACGAGUCAUAGCGGGUUUGACCGAGUAGCCUUAACCCAUUGUUGGCUCGCCAAGUUGGGAGUCAACUCGACGAGCUGAGUGAGUCCUGGGUAGAGUUCAAUUGAUGCGAGGGGACUCGACAAGUCGCAUGGGUGCACUCGACGAGUAGGGUCAAAUGUGGACUUUUGACUUGAGCUUGACUUCUGUUGACUUUGGGGUUUUGGUCAACAUAAGUAAUAGAGGCCUUAGAAGGGUAAAAUGGUCUUUUACCCACUUUUAGAGAGUUAGAAAGAGAAGGAACCGCCUUCGAUUAUCUGAGUCGUGAAAAAGAGUUAUUAUAAGAGAUAUUCAUCCUAUGUGUUAGGCGGUGGCGAGUUCGAGAUUCAAGUGUGAGGAUAGCUGCUUUCUGCUUGUCAAGUGAGUCUUCUCACUAUACUUUACCUAUAGUGGUAAUUAGAGUUAUGUGGCAGAGUAUUUUGUAUGCUAUUUAUGUGAUGUGAUGCACUGCAUUAUUUCUAUGUGAUUUAUGUUGUGUGUGUGUGUAUUACAGAGUUUAAAGAGUUAGACCGAAAGGUCCAUAGAGUUAGGACCAGAGGGUCCACAAAGUUAGGACCAGAUGGUCCAUAGAGUUAUAGCCUCUAGUGGCUAAUACGUGUUUUAUGUGGUAUCUUGGGGAACUCACUAAGCUUCGUGCUUACCGUAUUAUGUGUUAUGUGUUUCGGGUUCUUAGGAUCGCGGGACGGCACCGAUUGAUUGUACACACUAGAUAAAGAGUUAUGAGGAUCCUUUAUUAUUAAUUACUAAAACAUGGAGUUGUGUUUUGUGAAUUGAACAAAUGAAAUUUUAAUAAAAUGUGUCAUGAGGAUUUAUAUGAUUUUAAAUUUCAAAAAUUUCUUUUGAAAAUUUACAUUGUUACAAGAUAAUUGUGGUAAAAGCUUGGGUUGACAUUUUAGAAGAUUUAACGACGGGAAAUACACAACCAGGAGAUCAUUUUUGGUUUUGCAUUCUUGAGAUGUUUCGCAAGGAGAUAGGAAAAGGUGACAAAUGUUGUACCAAUCAUCAAUUGAAUUUAAAGUUUCGAAAAAUAGCGAAGCCGUUUCAAAAAUGAAUGGGUUGUACAAAAACCUAAAAUUUCAACCGGAAAACGGCCAAGGAGAUAAAAAUGGACUCUAAUAGUUAUACAACUUCCUUUUCUACGGAAAUAUUUAUAAUUUUGUAAGUAAAAUCCGUAGAAAAAAAACGGAUUACGCAAAAAUAGUAUCCACACUCUAUAUGUUCCAUUUUGUAAGUAAAACCAAAUCCGAUUUUUUUUAUUAAAAAAAUACAAAAACAUAAACAAUUUUGCAUUUUAGAAUAAAAACGUUGUCUGUUUUCUACUUUUUAUUUUAUUAUUAUUAUUAUUAUUAUUAUCUGGCUCUGUAUCAUUUAAUAAUAAAUAUUUUACUAAAGAGAGAUAUAUACAAAUACACAUGUUUAUUAUUUUAGUUUUCAACAGAAAUAAUGAAAUCAUAUUAAUAACUUUUAAAUAUUAAAAUACUUAAUCAAUAAAAUCUUUAUAGCCAAUUUCAGUAUUUACGAUUCGAUUCUUUUAAUUUUAUACAUAGAAAAGAAAACCAUGGUUAAGAAGAUUAAUAGGAACAAAAGAUAGGAGGAUAUUAAAAAAAAAAUCACCAGAAACUUGAAUAUAAGUUUUAGUUUAGAUUAGAUGACUCUAAUCAACUAGCCGACAUUCCAAACCGCAAUAAUACUAUACUUAUAAGAACGCAAAAGCAAUAAGCAAUUUUUUUACAUCGUCCAAAACUGACUUUCUUUCGCUACUUCUACCGAUAAACCAUUACUAUCUAUGUUAAACAGCUAACCUAUUCACAAAUCACAAUCAUAUGAUCCUAUAUCGAAAUCUUACCAAAAGGAGUAUCUGAGGGAUAAAAAUAGCGUUGUGGAUGACAUGUAUAAAUUUAGGAGUAAUGGGUUCAUGUGUGAGCCGUUUUAAAAAAACAUCAUAACAAAAAUUCUCAUUUACGAAACAAAAAUUAACCGAUCUAAUGUUUAUAGAAAGAAUAGAAGUUUAAAAAAAAAAUCAUAAGAAUUAUAAGAAAAAACAGAAAAGAUUUUAAUGUGGGGGUGAAAGUUCAUCGCUGUUUUUACCUUUCCCCCGAAGCAUAUCAGUAAAACCACCUCGCAUGAUUCUCCUGAAUCUUGUGUCUUCAACGGGUGAUUGUGGGGUAAUGACAGUUUUCGGGUCGGGUGGUGGUGGUGGUGGGAUUUCUCCUGAAUCCUUCUUUCCUAAAAGUCCACCUUCACUGAAGAAACUUGUCAUGGAGGUCGGGAGUCCAAAUUGAGUCCCCAUGACUUUGCUAAAUGCAUCAAAAGUUCCACUGGAUCUCUCUUUUACUAUCACUUCUAGCGCCUCUUUAUGUGCUGGGUCGAGCGCUUCUGUGUCUUUCAAUAGGUUUUGUAUUGUUGGCAGGAGGAGAUCGCGUACACUCGCUGAUGAAAGAUCUGCAAGGAGAGGAGGACAUUUUCGUAAUUUUACUUUCGGUUAUUUAUUAUUUUAGUAAAUGAAAGUAGACCUGUAGCAUCGAGAGCACGGAUAGCUUCGCAAAAUGCGUUGGCUCGAUCGCGGCGUCGCACCAUGUUGGUUACGGGGAGUUGAGCUGAAGAAAGAUGAAAUAUUUUUGAUAACAAAUGUGCUCUUUUGUCAAAGAAAAUUAAAAUUAAAAAGUUAUUUUGAUACAUAAUAUAAAUGUAUAAUUAUAGAUUAAAGGAUAUAAUCUUUUAGGCUCUCGGUUGUGUGUGGAACAGCAACUACUAAUGCACGAAUAACAGCAAUUGUAGCUUCAUGAGAUCCAUCUUCAAGAAAAGCGUCCAUUUGAACACGAAUUUUGUCA